RNAcentral lists this ribosomal RNA (253 nucleotides) under uncultured bacterium. RNAcentral's name for it is "partial 16S ribosomal RNA". It matches the Rfam family "Bacterial small subunit ribosomal RNA", at positions 524 to 776 of the family's 1533-position model. The record is from RNAcentral.
UACGUAGGGGGCAAGCGUUGUCCGGAUUUAUUGGGCGUAAAGGGCUCGUAGGCGGCCAACUAAGUCAUACGUGAAAUCCCUCGGCUUAACCGGGGAACUGCGUCUGAUACUGGAUGGCUUGAGUUCGGGAGAGGGAUGCGGAAUUCCAGGUGUAGCGGUGAAAUGCGUAGAUAUCUGGAGGAACACCGGUGGCGAAGGCGGCAUCCUGGACCGAUACUGACGCUGAGGAGCGAAAGCCAGGGGAGCAAACAGG